GCGUUGGUGGUCCAGUGGUAGAAUUCUUGCCUGCCAUGCAGGAGGCCCAGGUUCAAUUCCUGGCCAAUGCA
This 71-nucleotide transfer RNA is filed under the name Loxodonta africana (African savanna elephant). RNAcentral's name for it is "tRNA-Gly (GCC) (tRNA-Gly-GCC-6-1)". It matches the Rfam family "tRNA". From Rfam's summary of the family: Transfer RNA (tRNA) molecules are approximately 80 nucleotides in length. The record is from Rfam by way of RNAcentral. Lineage: Eukaryota; Metazoa; Chordata; Mammalia; Proboscidea; Elephantidae.